GUACUCACUUUGGCAACAUAUAUAGUAAAACUGGAAUUAUACGAGAAGGUUAGCAAGGCCUCUGCAUAAAGAAGACAAAGGAUGAAGAGGGAGAUUUAUGACAUGA
This is a small nuclear RNA of Sorex fumeus (smoky shrew), 106 nucleotides long. The record is from RefSeq and is a predicted model, not a curated record. NCBI's taxonomy places the organism in Eukaryota, Metazoa, Chordata, Mammalia, Eulipotyphla, Soricidae.